UCCAGACUCCUACGGGAGGCAGCAGUGGGGAAUAUUGCACAAUGGGGGAAACCCUGAUGCAGCGACGCCGCGUGAGCGAAGAAGUAUUUCGGUAUGUAAAGCUCUCUCAGCAGGGAAGAAAAAAAUGACGGUACCUGAGUAAGAAGCACCGGCUAAAUACGUGCCAGCAGCCGCGGUAAUACGUAUGGUGCAAGCGUUAUCCGGAUUUACUGGGUGUAAAGGGAGCGUAGGCGGCGCGUUAAGUCUGAUGUGAAAACCCGGGGCUCAACCACGGGAGUGCAUUGGAAACUGGCGGGCUGGAGUGCCGGAGAGGUAGGCGGAAUUCCUAGUGUAGCGGUGAAAUGCGUAGAUAUUAGGAGGAACACCAGUGGCGAAGGCGGCUUACUGGACGGCAACUGACGCUGAGGCUCGAAAGCGUGGGGAGCAAACAGGAUUAGAUACCCCGGUA
This 448-nucleotide ribosomal RNA is filed under the name uncultured bacterium. Its description in RNAcentral is "bacterial SSU rRNA". It matches the Rfam family "Bacterial small subunit ribosomal RNA", at positions 330 to 792 of the family's 1533-position model. The record is from RNAcentral.